RNAcentral lists this small RNA (180 nucleotides) under Arabidopsis thaliana (thale cress). RNAcentral describes it as "ATSL086910". The record is from RNAcentral. Lineage: Eukaryota; Viridiplantae; Streptophyta; Magnoliopsida; Brassicales; Brassicaceae.
UUUAAAUUGAUAUUUAUAUAAUAAAUCACUGAGGGUGAAAAAUAUGUAAGAAGCUCUAUCAUCAAAUUCUUAGGUUUUUAAAAUCUAACACUACCCUCUGUUAAAUUGGUUUAAGAAAAACAUUGUUUAUAAAUUAUGUGUAUGAUGCAUUGUUGAGAAUGUUGUUAGAAUUAUUUUUUU